Pseudophryne corroboree (corroboree frog) is the source of this 323-nucleotide long non-coding RNA. RefSeq lists it as uncharacterized. The record is from RefSeq and is a predicted model, not a curated record. NCBI's taxonomy places the organism in Eukaryota, Metazoa, Chordata, Amphibia, Anura, Myobatrachidae. The transcript is spliced from 2 exons.
AUACAGUAUGUCUGAGAUUUUCCUAUGAGAUUUCCCUGCGAAUUUGAACCCUUAAGUAUCACACGUCCUUUUUUACAGAUUAUCAGAUACACCCCUGAUGAAGUCUCUGUGCAAGACGAAACGCGUUGGGUAUUCUAUCUUGUUCUGAUGUGACCUCCAAUCUACAUUAUUUGAAGCAGGAUAUCACAAAAUAAGUAUUUGUACACUUAUGUAAAACCAGACCCCCAUUUUAUGUGAUAGGGGGUUGCUGGACUAAAAAUAAUUUAUGUAUAUGGACACUGCCGCUAUUUUUAUGAAUUUUAAAUAAAACUUGUGUAUUGGAA